AGGUGACUUGGAGCUCUAUGUCAUCGACUUUGAGCUCUACGUCAUCUUGGAGGUGACUUGGAGCUCUACAUCAUCGACUUUGAGCUCUACGUCAUCUUGGAGGUGACUUGGAGCUCUACGUCAUCGACUUUGAGCCCUACGUUAUCUUGGAGGUGACUUUGAGCUCUACAUCAUCCCAUAGGUGACUUUGAGCCCUACAUCAUCGACUUUGAGCUCUACAUCAUCCCGUAGGUGACUUUGAGCUCUACAUCAUCAACUUUGAGCCCUACGUCAUCUUGGAGGUGACUUUGAGCCCUCCGUCAUCUUGCUCCAACAGCGUCGCUCGAUAUUCUCCGAAAGGUCCUCCUUGGCCUUAAGAAGCUUAACGAGCUUGCAGUCGUUUGCGCGCGCGCUCCUGCCAGGUUUCCGCUGCCGAUAGGACACCAUCCCCAUUACCGCGGCGUAACUCCUCCGGGACGGUUUCUUUUCCUUAUUUCUAAUUAAUUCUUUCCAAAGAUUAUCAGGCUAUUUUCGGAAUCCUCGAGUUCGUCUUACCAGAUUUAUUCCGGGUUUAAGGAUAAUCCUUACGGAUUCCGCUCUUCCCGAUCUACCCGCGAC
Grus americana (Whooping crane) is the source of this 597-nucleotide long non-coding RNA. RefSeq lists it as uncharacterized. The transcript is spliced from 3 exons. The record is from RefSeq and is a predicted model, not a curated record. NCBI's taxonomy places the organism in Eukaryota, Metazoa, Chordata, Aves, Gruiformes, Gruidae.